RNAcentral lists this ribosomal RNA (468 nucleotides) under uncultured bacterium. RNAcentral describes it as "partial 16S ribosomal RNA". It matches the Rfam family "Bacterial small subunit ribosomal RNA", at positions 28 to 507 of the family's 1533-position model. The record is from RNAcentral.
GAUGAACGCUGACAGAAUGCUUAACACAUGCAAGUCUACUUGAAUUUGGGUUUUUUAACUUAGAUUUGGGUGGCGGACGGGUGAUUAACGCGUAAAGAACUUGCCUCACAGCUAGGGACAACAUUUGGAAACGAAUGCUAAUACCUGCUAUUAUGAUUAUAAGGCAUCUUAUACUUAUGAAAGCUAUAUGCGCUGUGAGAGAGCUGUGCGUCUCAUUAGCUAGUUGGCGAGGUAACGGCUCACCAAGGCGAUGAUGGGUAGCCGGCCUGGGAGGGUGAACGGCCACAAGGGGACAGAGGAACGGCCCUUACGCAUACGGGAGGCAGCAGUGGGGAAUAGUGGGCAAUGGACCGAGAGUGUGAUCAAGCAAUUCGGUGUGCAAGAUGACGUUUUUCGGAAAGAAAAGAGCUGUCAGUUGGGAAGAAAAAAAUGACGGUACCAACAGAAGAAGCGACGGCUAAAUACGUG